This 1079-nucleotide long non-coding RNA is filed under the name Fukomys damarensis (Damara mole-rat). Its description in RNAcentral is "lncRNA (ENSFDAG00000023935.1)". Lineage: Eukaryota; Metazoa; Chordata; Mammalia; Rodentia; Bathyergidae. The record is from RNAcentral.
GUAAAUAGUUUUGAAAACAUGAUCAGUAGAUCUAGAAGUAAAAUAAUGUUAUGAUAAAAAUUUGUGCCCUGGAGGUUAUGAUAAUGGAAAACAAAAACUAUCUGGCUCUAGCUGGUUCUGAUCAUUUCAAGAUGGAAUUACAAUAUCUGCAGGACUCAAACACGAGAGAUAAAAUCCCCUGAUGAAUCUGCCAUUGGCAUUAUUGUGACCUUGAAAACAUGUCACAAUAACUUGCUGUUUAACUUUGAUAGCUGAGCUGAGUUUGUUAUAGCUGGCUCAUUUGAAGUCCUACUGACCAGCACAGUAGGGCAUUCCUCAUUCCUGGUUCCUUCAGACAGACAUAAAACAUUUAACCAUGAGAAGCCAGCUUUUGGUUUCGGUAUUUUCAAAAAGAAAAUUCUAAAAUCAGAUACAUAAUAUCUACAGUAGUUUGGGAUAUAAAAAACUUCAUCUUGUAGUUUGAAAAUAUGUUGAAUCAGCAAAUGCAUGAGCCCUGCAUGGACUGUCUGACUUAACAUUGGACACGACUAAGAGGAGACAAACACGCAGGGAGAGAAUGAUUAAUGUAAGCUCUUCUACAGCCAGCCAGAGACUUAAGGAAUUCUUUUCUGCAGCAUUCCAGAGAUAAUGGCCUACCAUUUUAUCCAGGGACAAGUUUUGUCAUUUAAAAAAAUAUGGAAAAUAGUGACACUCAAAAGAUUGGUGUUACCUAAGGAGGGAUAUACAAAGCAAAAUGGAAAACAGAGAAGAAACAAGAAUAUAGUAAAGAUUCAACUUUGUUUCCUCUAUGUGUUCCCUGGAACUGGAGAGAACCGUGGAUCUUAUUUUCUAUUUCAGAACAGUGAUGCAAGGGACAAAUAAUUCAACCAAACAUUACUAAAUAAACCAAAUCCAGCAUCUGUGACCUCACCUACAAACCAGUGACCAGACAUUCUUACAAAUCAUUGUCCAGACAUUAAAACAUCUAAUAGUAAUUUAUACCCUUACAGUGAGCAAAGUAUUUCUUUCCCUGCAUUCAUUUUCCAUCCUCCUUUUUCCUUCCUCUCUUCCUUUUUCCUUCCUUUUUUCUUCCUCCUUCC